RNAcentral lists this ribosomal RNA (189 nucleotides) under uncultured bacterium. RNAcentral's name for it is "partial 16S ribosomal RNA". It matches the Rfam family "Bacterial small subunit ribosomal RNA", at positions 1311 to 1500 of the family's 1533-position model. The record is from RNAcentral.
UUCGCCUUCAUGAAGCUGGAAUUGCUAGUAAUGGCAGGUCAGCAUACUGCCGUGAAUACGUUCCCGGGCCUUGUACACACCGCCCGUCACACCAUGAGAGUUGGAAAUACCCGAAGCCUGUGAGCUAACUUAAAGAGGCAGCAGUCGAAGGUAGAGCCAACGAUUGGGGUGAAGUCGUAACAAGGUACC